Molecule: ribosomal RNA, 500 nt
Filed under: uncultured bacterium
Lineage: Bacteria
Description: partial 16S ribosomal RNA
Rfam family: Bacterial small subunit ribosomal RNA
Source: RNAcentral
AUUGAACGCUGGCGGCAUGCCUUACACAUGCAAGUCGAACGGCAGCACGGGAGCAAUCCUGGUGGCGAGUGGCGAACGGGUGAGUAAAGUAUCGGAACGUGCCGAGUAGUGGGGGAUAACGCAGCGAAAGUUGUGCUAAUACCGCAUACGUACUGAGGUAGAAAGUGGGGGACCUUCGGGCCUCACGCUAUUCGAGCGGCCGACGUCUGAUUAGCUAGUAGGUGAGGUAAAGGCUCACCUAGGCGACGAUCAGUAGCGGGUCUGAGAGGAUGAUCCGCCACCCUGCGACUGUGACACGGCCCAGACUCCUACGGGAGGCAGCAGUGGGGAAUUUUGGACAAUGGGCGAAAGCCUGAUCCAGCCAUGCCGCGUGUCUGAAGAAGGCCUUCGGGUUGUAAAGGACUUUUGUCAGGGAGGAAAUCCCUAGUGCUAAUAACACUGGGGGAUGACAGUACCUGAAGAAUAAGCACCGGCUAACUACGUGCCAGCAGCCGCGGUAA